GGUUAAGUGACUAAGCGUGCACGGUGGAUGCCUUGGCAA
Molecule: ribosomal RNA, 39 nt
Filed under: Vibrio nereis
Lineage: Bacteria; Pseudomonadati; Pseudomonadota; Gammaproteobacteria; Vibrionales; Vibrionaceae
Description: partial 23S ribosomal RNA
Source: RNAcentral